UGCAGUCGAGGGGCAGCAUGAUUUGUAGCAAUACAGAUUGAUGGCGACCGGCGCACGGGUGAGUAACGCGUAUGCAACUUACCUAUCAGAGGGGGAUAGCCCGGCGAAAGUCGGAUUAAUACCCCAUAAAACAGGGGUCCCGCAUGGGAAUAUUUGUUAAAGAUUCAUCGCUGAUAGAUAGGCAUGCGUUCCAUUAGGCAGUUGGCGGGGUAACGGCCCACCAAACCGACGAUGGAUAGGGGUUCUGAGAGGAAGGUCCCCCACAUUGGUACUGAGACACGGACCAAACUCCUACGGGAGGCAGCAGUGAGGAAUAUUGGUCAAUGGCCGAGAGGCUGAACCAGCCAAGUCGCGUGAAGGAAGAAGGAUCUAUGGUUUGUAAACUUCUUUUAUAGGGGAAUAAAGUGGAGGACGUGUCCUUUUUUGUAUGUACCCUAUGAAUAAGCAUCGGCUAACUCCGUGCCAGCAGCCGCGGUAAUACGGAGGAUGCGAGCGUUAUCCGGAUUUAUUGGGUUUAAAGGGUGCGUAGGUGGUGAUUUAAGUCAGCGGUGAAAGUUUGUGGCUCAACCAUAAAAUUGCCGUUGAAACUGGGUUACUUGAGUGUGUUUGAGGUAGGCGGAAUGCGUGGUGUAGCGGUGAAAUGCAUAGAUAUCACGCAGAACUCCGAUUGCGAAGGCAGCUUACUAAACCAUAACUGAC
This 699-nucleotide ribosomal RNA is filed under the name uncultured bacterium. RNAcentral describes it as "bacterial SSU rRNA". It matches the Rfam family "Bacterial small subunit ribosomal RNA", at positions 56 to 744 of the family's 1533-position model. The record is from RNAcentral.